GUGUCAGCAGCCGCGGUAAUACGUAGGUGGCAAGCGUUAUCCGGAAUUACUGGGCGUAAAGCGCACGCAGGUGGUUGGCUAAGAUUGACGUGAAAGCGCCUGGCUUAACUGGGCGAGGUCGUUGAUGACUGGCCGACUUGAGGCGAGGAGAGGGGUGUAGAAUUCCCGGUGUAGUGGUGGAAUGCGUAGAUAUCGGGAGGAAUACCAGUGGCGAAAGCGGCACCCUGGCCUUGGCCUGACGCUCAGGUGCGAAAGCGUGGGGAGCGAACGGGAUUAGAAACCCUCGUAGUCC
Molecule: ribosomal RNA, 292 nt
Filed under: uncultured bacterium
Lineage: Bacteria
Description: partial 16S ribosomal RNA
Rfam family: Bacterial small subunit ribosomal RNA
Source: RNAcentral